This 498-nucleotide ribosomal RNA is filed under the name uncultured bacterium. RNAcentral describes it as "partial 16S ribosomal RNA". It matches the Rfam family "Bacterial small subunit ribosomal RNA", at positions 30 to 523 of the family's 1533-position model. The record is from RNAcentral.
AUUGAACGCUGGCGGCAUGCCUUACACAUGCGAGUCGAACGGUAACAGGUCUUCGGAUGCUGACGAGUGGCGAACGGGUGAGUAAUACAUCGGAACGUGCCUAGUAGUGGGGGAUAACUACUCGAAAGAGUGGCUAAUACCGCAUGAGAUCUACGGAUGAAAGCAGGGGAUCGCAAGACCUUGUGCUACCAGAGCGGCCGAUGGCAGAUUAGGUAGUUGGUGGGAUAAAAGCUUACCAAGCCGACGAUCUGUAGCUGGUCUGAGAGGACGAUCAGCCACACUGGGACUGAGACACGGCCCAGACUCCUACGGGAGGCAGCAGUGGGGAAUUUUGGACAAUGGGCGAAAGCCUGAUCCAGCAAUGCCGCGUGCAGGAUGAAGGCCUUCGGGUUGUAAACUGCUUUUGUACGGAACGAAAAGCCCCGGGUUAAUACCCUGGGGUCAUGGCGGUACCGUAAGAAUAAGCACCGGCUAACUACGUGCCAGCAGCCGCCGUAA